Molecule: long non-coding RNA, 664 nt
Filed under: Dromaius novaehollandiae (emu)
Lineage: Eukaryota; Metazoa; Chordata; Aves; Casuariiformes; Dromaiidae
Description: lncRNA (ENSDNVG00000003487.1)
Source: RNAcentral
UUGAGUAUUAAAUAAUUCAAUAUUUUUAUUUUCUCUCUCUUCCAGAUUAUAGGACUACAGAAUGAACUAAUUAGGCAUGGAGUCUUAAAGAACCAACAGGACUGUGAAGACUUUUGGAAACUGAUUCCCCAGAGCUGUCACAGUUCACAGCUCAAAGAAAAACUUGAGGACAUAAAAUCAAAAAUGAUUGCUUCCAAAAGUUUGCCUCCCUGCACCCAUGUCAGAAUGAGUACAGCACAGCCAACUGAUGUUUUUCUAAGCCAAAGAUGUGAGAAGCUGAAAAAAAGCUCAGCCAAUAUGUCAGGAUCAGUGUGCUGCCAACCUCCACUUCAUCAUCCCAGUAAGCACACGAAGUCCCAAAAAGAAACUGAGCAAAUAUUUUCUAAGUACAGAAUUUCUAAAAGGAGUAAGAAAUGUUUCCAACAUAAAAAGCAUCUUUUUUACUUGCACCAUAUGUAUCAUCUUGCCUGUCUUAAUAUGGCAUCAUCUAAGAGGUCAGUUACUGUCAUCAUAUAUUCUUUUUAACUUAUUUGAAGACAUUUUCAGGUCUCUUGAGUUUCAUCUGAGAUAACAGAUAGUUCCAUUGUUUAACAGAUUUCUGCUGAAUUUUAGAAGACAUUGUUAUACUGACAUUUGUUUUACAGGUACAGGCAUUUAUUUUGGC